RNAcentral lists this unclassified non-coding RNA (268 nucleotides) under uncultured Limacella. RNAcentral describes it as "sequence contains ITS2". Lineage: Eukaryota; Fungi; Basidiomycota; Agaricomycetes; Agaricales; Amanitaceae. The record is from RNAcentral.
AAUAAUCAACCUUUCCAGUUCAUUUGAACUGGCUUUCAAAGGUAUUGGAUAUGGGAGAAAAUUGCAGGCUUUUGUAUUAAAGUCAGCUCUCCUUAAAUGUAUUAGCAGAACCAAAUUUUAUGUUAAAAUAGCAUCUCAAGGUGUGAUAAGUAUCUACACCCCACAUGAGAUGCAUAAGUUUUACUUAAAAUAAUUAAUGGAGCUCAGCUUUCUAAAGUUUGCUUUAUGUUAUUAUUAUCAAUAAUUUAAAAGCAACUUGUCAUUAAAA